CCUACGGGUGGCAGCAGUGAGGAAUAUUGGGCAAUGGGCGCGAGCCUGAACCAGCCAAGUAGCGUGAAGGAAGAAUGCUCUCCGGGUUGUAAACUCUUUUGAUAAAGGAAAAAAGUGAGGCGCGUGUGCCUUUUUGUAUGUACUUUAUGAAUAAGGAACGGCUAACUCCGUGCCAGCAGCCGCGGUAAUACGGAGGAUCCGAGCGUUAUCCGGAUUUAUUGGGUUUAAAGGGAGCGUAGGUGGGUUUGUAAGUCAGUUGUGAAAGUUUGCGGGUCAACCGGAAGAUUGCUAUUGAUACUGGCAUCCUUGAGUACAGUAGAGGCAGGCGGAAUUCGUGGUGUAGCGGUGAAAUGCUUAGAUAUUAGGAAGAACUCCGGUGGCGAAGGCAGCUUACUAGACUGCCACUGACGUUGAGGCUCGAAAGUGUGGGGAUCAAACAGGAUUAGAUACCCUUGUAGUC
RNAcentral lists this ribosomal RNA (460 nucleotides) under uncultured bacterium. RNAcentral describes it as "partial 16S ribosomal RNA". It matches the Rfam family "Bacterial small subunit ribosomal RNA", at positions 338 to 795 of the family's 1533-position model. The record is from RNAcentral.